RNAcentral lists this ribosomal RNA (1348 nucleotides) under metagenome. RNAcentral's name for it is "bacterial LSU rRNA". It matches the Rfam family "Bacterial large subunit ribosomal RNA", at positions 1564 to 2925 of the family's 2925-position model. The record is from RNAcentral.
UGAGUACGAGCGGCUACGGCCGCGAAGUGGAUGAUGUCAAGCUUCCAAGAAAAGCCCUAUACCCGUUAAGGCAUGAUGGCCUGUACCCGAAACCGACACAGGUGGGGUGGUAGAGAAUACCGAGGGGCGCGAGGUAACUCUCUCUAAGGAACUCGGCAAAAUGGCCCCGUAACUUCGGGAGAAGGGGUGCCACCGCGAGGUGGUCGCAGUGAAGAGGCCCAGGCGACUGUUUACCAAAAACACAGGUCUCCGCUAAGUCGCAAGACGAUGUAUGGGGGCUGACGCCUGCCCAGUGCCGGAAGGUUAAGGAAGCUGGUCAGCGCAAGCGAAGCUGGCGAUUGAAGCCCCGGUGAACGGCGGCCGUAACUAUAACGGUCCUAAGGUAGCAAAAUUCCUUGUCGGGUAAGUUCCGACCCGCACGAAAGGCGUAACGAUCUGGGCGCUGUCUCGGAGAGAGGCUCGGCGAAAUAGAAUUGUCUGUGAAGAUGCGGACUACGUGCACCCGGACAGAAAGACCCUAUGAAGCUUUACUGUAGCUUGGUAUUGUGCUCGGGCUCGGAAUGCGCAGGAUAGGUGGGAGGCUUUGAUCCAUUGCUUGCGGGUGAUGGUGAGCCACUGGUGAGAUACCACUCUUUCCGAGCUAGAGUUCUAACAGCAACCCGUUAUCCGGGUGCUGGACAGUAUCAGGUGGGCAGUUUGACUGGGGCGGUCGCCUCCUAAAAGGUAACGGAGGCGCGCAAAGGUCUGCUCAGGCUGGUUGGAAAUCAGCCGACGAGUGUAAAAGCAGAAGCAGGCUUGACUGUGAGACCUACAAGUCGAACAGGGAGGAAACUCGGCUUUAGUGAUCCGACGGUUCUGCGUGGAAGGGCCGUCGCUCAACGGAUAAAAGUUACUCUAGGAUAACAGGCUGAUCUCCCCCAAGAGUUCACAUCGACGGGGAGGUUUGGCACCUCGAUGUCGGCUCAUCGCAACCUGGGGCUGAAGUCGGUCCCAAGGGUUGGGCUGUUCGCCCAUUAAAGCGGUACGCGAGCUGGGUUCAGAACGUCGUGAGACAGUUCGGUCCAUAUCCGGUGCACGCGCAGGAAUAUUGAGAGGAUUUCUCCCUAGUACGAGAGGACCGGGAGGAACGCACCUCUGGUGUGCCAGUUAUCGUGCCAACGGUAAACGCUGGGUAGCCAUGUGCGGAGUGGAUAACCGCUGAAAGCAUCUAAGUGGGAAGCCCACCUCAAGAUGAGUAUUCCCAUGGCAUAAGCCAGUAAGGUCACGGGAAGAACACCCGUUGAUAGGCUCUACGUGGAAGCGCAGUAAUGUGUGAAGCGGAGGAGUACUAAUAGACCGAGGGCUUGAC